RNAcentral lists this ribosomal RNA (1144 nucleotides) under human gut metagenome. RNAcentral's name for it is "bacterial LSU rRNA". It matches the Rfam family "Bacterial large subunit ribosomal RNA", at positions 816 to 1977 of the family's 2925-position model. The record is from RNAcentral.
UAGCGGAGAAAUUCCAAUCGAACUCGGAGAUAGCUGGUUCUCCCCGAAAUAGCUUUAGGGCUAGCGUCGGAUAUGUGUAGUGGAGGUAGAGCACUGAAUGGGCUAGGGGGCAUAUCGCUUACCGAACCUUAUCAAACUCCGAAUGCCAUAUACAUUAAGUCCGGCAGUCAGACUACGAAUGAUAAGAUCCGUGGUCAAAAGGGAAACAGCCCAGAUCGUCAGCUAAGGUCCCAAAGUGUAAGUUAAGUGGAAAAGGAUGUGGGAUUUCUAAGACAACUAGGAUGUUGGCUUAGAAGCAGCCACUCAUUUAAAGAGUGCGUAAUAGCUCACUAGUCGAGAGAUCCUGCGCCGAAAAUGUCCGGGGCUCAAACUUACCACCGAAGCUACGGGCUUGCGUAAGCAAGCGGUAGGGGAGCGUCGUAAUCGGGCUGAAGUCGUACCGUAAGGAGCGGUGGACUGAUUACGAGUGAGAAUGUUGGCAUUAGUAGCGAGAUGUAGGUGAGAAUCCUACAGGCCGAAUAUCUAAGGUUUCCUCAGGAAGGCUCGUCCGCUGAGGGUUAGUCGGGACCUAAGCCGAGGCCGAAAGGCGUAGGCGAUGGACAAUCGGUUGAUAUUCCGAUACCACUACCAUCGUUAUUAUCGAGGGUGUGACGGAGAAGGAUAGUGUGUGCUAGCGAUUGGAAAUGCUAGUCUAAGCGUUUAGGGAGUUACGGUAGGCAAAUCCGCUGUAACAAUUCUGAGGCGUGAUGGGGAAGGCCAUAUAGGCCGAAGUACAUGAUUCCAUGCUUCCAAGAAAAGCAUCUAGAGAGAGAAGUAGUGCCCGUACCGCAAACCGACACAGGUAGAUGAGGAGAGAAUCCUAAGGCCGGCGGAAGAAUUGCAGUUAAGGAACUAGGCAAAUUGACCCCGUAAGUUCGCGAGAAGGGGUGCCUGCGAGAGCAGGCCGCAGAGAAUAGGCCCAAGCAACUGUUUAGCAAAAACACAGGUCUCUGCUAAAGCGUAAGCUGAUGUAUAGGGGCUGACGCCUGCCCGGUGCUGGAAGGUUAAGGGGAACACUUAGCGCAAGCGAAGGUGUGAACUUAAGCCCCAGUAAACGGCGGCCGUAACUAUAACGGUCCUAAGGUAGCGAAAUUCCUUGUCAGGU